UGGCGGCGUGCCUAACACAUGCAAGUCGAACGAGAAAGCUCUUCGGAGUGAGUAGAGUGGCGCACGGGUGAGUAACACGUAGGUGACCUACCAUGCAGAGGGGGAUAACCCAGAGAAAUUUUGGGCUAAUACCGCGUACGAUCAGCAAACCUGAGAGUAGCUGAUGAUAGGAUGCUUCGGCAUUCACUGUAUGAUGGGCCUGCGGGACAUUAGCUUGAUGGUGGGGUAACGGCCUACCAUGGCGACGAUGUCUAGCGGAUUUGAGAGAAUGAUCCGUCACACUGGAACUGAGACACGGUCCAGACUCCUACGGGAGGCAGCAGUGGGGAAUAUUGCGCAAUGGGGGAAACCCUGACGCAGCAACGCCGCGUGAGUGAGGAAGGUUUUCGGAUUGUAAAGCUCUGUCAACGUGGAAAAACGGCAGUUGGUCUAAUAGGCCUUCUGUUUGAUGGUACACGUAAAGGAAGCACCGGCUAACUUCGUG
This 484-nucleotide ribosomal RNA is filed under the name uncultured bacterium. Its description in RNAcentral is "bacterial SSU rRNA". It matches the Rfam family "Bacterial small subunit ribosomal RNA", at positions 37 to 507 of the family's 1533-position model. The record is from RNAcentral.